CCUACGGGAUGCAGCAGGCGCGAAACCUUUACACUGCGGGAAACCGCGAUCAGGGGACACCGAGUGCCAGCACACAAUGCUGGCUGUCCACAUGUGUACAUAGCAUGUGAUAGCAAGGGCCGGGCAAGACCGGUGCCAGCCGCCGCGGUAACACCGGCGGCCCGAGUGGUAAUCACUAUUAUUGGGUCUAAAGGGUCCGUAGCCGGUUUAAUCAGUCUUCCGGGAAAUCUGACAGCCCAACUGUUAGGCUCCCGGGGGAUACUGUUAGACUUGGGACCGGGAGAGGUAAGAGAUACUACAGAGGUAGGAGUGAAAUCUUGUAAUCCCUGCGGGACCACCAGUGGCGAAGGCGUCUUACCAGAACGGGUCCGACGGUGAGGGACGAAAGCUGGGGGCACGAACCGGAUUAGAUACCCCCGUAGUC
RNAcentral lists this ribosomal RNA (424 nucleotides) under uncultured archaeon. RNAcentral describes it as "bacterial SSU rRNA". It matches the Rfam family "Archaeal small subunit ribosomal RNA", at positions 322 to 746 of the family's 1478-position model. The record is from RNAcentral.